GUACGUACAAGCAGUGGGAGCACAGGUUUACCUGUGUGACUGCGUACCUUUUGUAUAAUGGGUCAGCGACUUAUAUUCUGUAGCAAGGUUAACCGUAUAGGGGAGCCGGAGGGAAACCGAGUCUUAACCGGGCGUUAAGUUGCAGGGUAUAGACCCGAAACCCGGUGAUCUAGCCAUGGGCAGGUUGAAGGUUGGGUAACACUAACUGGAGGACCGAACCGACUAAUGUUGAAAAA
This 236-nucleotide ribosomal RNA is filed under the name Salmonella enterica. Its description in RNAcentral is "partial 23S ribosomal RNA". It matches the Rfam family "Bacterial large subunit ribosomal RNA", at positions 560 to 796 of the family's 2925-position model. RNAcentral also lists the same sequence under 4 other names. Lineage: Bacteria; Pseudomonadati; Pseudomonadota; Gammaproteobacteria; Enterobacterales; Enterobacteriaceae. The record is from RNAcentral.